Molecule: ribosomal RNA, 401 nt
Filed under: uncultured bacterium
Lineage: Bacteria
Description: bacterial SSU rRNA
Rfam family: Bacterial small subunit ribosomal RNA
Source: RNAcentral
AACCUACCGUAUACGAGAGGGGAAUAACCCGGCGAAAGUCGGACUGAUACCGCAUAAAACAGGGGCACCGCAUGGUGAUAUUGUUAAAGAAAUUCGCUGAUAGAUGGGCAUGCGCUCCAUUAGGUAGUUGGUGAGGUAACGGCUCACCAAGCCGACGAUGGAUAGGGGAACUGAGAGGUUGGUCCCCCACACUGGUACUGAGACACGGACCAGACUCCUACGGGAGGCAGCAGUGAGGAAUAUUGGUCAAUGGGCGGGAGCCUGAACCAGCCAAGUCGCGUGAAAAGGAAGAAGGAUCUAUGGUUCGUAAACUUCUUUUGCAGGGGAAUAAAGUGCAGGACGUGUCCUGUUUUGUAUGUACCCUGAGAAUAAGGAUCGGCUAACUCCGUGCCAGCAGCCGC